UAUCAAGCUACUAAGGGCUUACGGUGGAUGCCUUGGCGCCGGAAGACGAUGAAGGACGUGUCUAGCUGCGAUAUGCCUCGGGGAGCUGCUAAGAGAGCAUUGAUCCGGGGAUUUCCGAAUGGGGCAACCCGAUGAGGUAGACCCUCAUCACUGCAGGAUGAAUACAUAGUCCUGUAGAGUUAACGGAGAGAACUGAAACAUCUUAGUAUCUCUAGGAAAAGAAAUCAAUUGAGAUUCCCCAAGUAGUGGCGAGCGAACGGGGAAUAGCCUAAACCCUGUGAAUGUCAAGCCUGCCGGCGUUGUUCACGGGGGGUCACGGGCCAUUUUCGGAGCGAGCGGCAGCUUGCUCGGAGAGUUACAAAACAAUCGUUUAGUUGAACUUCUAUGGAAAUAGAGGCCAGAGCGGGUGAUAGCCCCGUAAACGAAAAGCGAUUGUCUCUCUGGAUUUUGUGCCCAAGUACCACGGGACACGUGGAACCCUGUGGGAAUUCGGGAGGACCACCUUCCAAGGCUAAAUACUAGCCGGCGACCGAUAGUGAACUAGUACCGUGAGGGAAAGGUGAAAAGAACCCCGGCAAGGGGAGUGAAAUAGU
RNAcentral lists this ribosomal RNA (593 nucleotides) under Candidatus Obscuribacterales bacterium. RNAcentral describes it as "partial 23S ribosomal RNA". It matches the Rfam family "Bacterial large subunit ribosomal RNA", at positions 1 to 547 of the family's 2925-position model. The record is from RNAcentral. Lineage: Bacteria; Bacillati; Candidatus Melainabacteria; Candidatus Obscuribacterales.